RNAcentral lists this ribosomal RNA (395 nucleotides) under uncultured bacterium. RNAcentral describes it as "partial 16S ribosomal RNA". It matches the Rfam family "Bacterial small subunit ribosomal RNA", at positions 523 to 918 of the family's 1533-position model. The record is from RNAcentral.
AUACGUAGGGUGCAAGCGUUAAUCGGAAUUACUGGGCGUAAAGCGUGCGCAGGCGGUUUUGUAAGACAGUGGUGAAAUCCCCGGGCUCAACCUGGGAACUGCCAUUGUGACUGCAAGGCUGGAGUGCGGCAGAGGGGGAUGGAAUUCCGCGUGUAGCAGUGAAAUGGGUAGAUAUGCGGAGGAACACCGAUGGCGAAGGCAAUCCCCUGGGCCUGCACUGACGCUCAUGCACGAAAGCGUGGGGAGCAAACAGGAUUAGAUACCCUGGUAGUCCACGCCCUAAACGAUGUCAACUGGUUGUUGGGGAUUUAUUUUCUCAGUAACGAAGCUAACGCGUGAAGUUGACCGCCUGGGGAGUACGGCCGCAAGGUUAAAACUCAAAUGAAUUGACGGGG